RNAcentral lists this ribosomal RNA (16 nucleotides) under Musa acuminata (dwarf banana). RNAcentral's name for it is "partial 26S ribosomal RNA". The record is from RNAcentral. Lineage: Eukaryota; Viridiplantae; Streptophyta; Magnoliopsida; Zingiberales; Musaceae. RNAcentral also lists the same sequence under 1 other name.
CCACGGGACCGCGACC